Molecule: unclassified non-coding RNA, 312 nt
Filed under: Hevea brasiliensis (rubber tree)
Lineage: Eukaryota; Viridiplantae; Streptophyta; Magnoliopsida; Malpighiales; Euphorbiaceae
Source: RNAcentral
UCAGCCAAAGGUGUUAUACCCAAUAAACUAAGAAAGAAGACCCAUCCAUUAUGCCCACUUAAUUGGUGGAUGAUGAUUGCAAGAGGCCCAAAGGGCAUAAGCAAAUUUAGUUUAUUUGAAAGUAGUACAGUCUUUAUGCUCUUAUAUACACCACUACUCCACUUCUUCCUGCCACCAGCUUGAAAGCUACCUGAUACAGAUCCACAAUCACCUAUAUGACUAGGUUGCAUCUUUUGGGUCCCUGGCUCUGGGCUGAAAACACUCUCAUCCUUGAACUCAUGCACAGAUCCAUUUUCAGCUAUUGGUCCCAUC